Molecule: ribosomal RNA, 240 nt
Filed under: uncultured bacterium
Lineage: Bacteria
Description: partial 16S ribosomal RNA
Rfam family: Bacterial small subunit ribosomal RNA
Source: RNAcentral
CCGGCAAACGGGUGCGGAACACGUACAGAACCUUCCUUUAAGCGGGGGAUAGCCCGGAGAAAUCCGGAUUAAUACCCCAUAGUAAUGUUGGGUGGCAUCACCUGGUAUUUAAAGAUUUAUCACUUAAAGAUGGCUGUGCGGCUGAUUAGGUAGUUGGUGUGGGUAAUGGCCCACCAAGCCUUCGAUCAGUAACUGGUGUGAGAGCACGACCAGUCACACGGGCACUGAGACACGGGCCCG